This 489-nucleotide ribosomal RNA is filed under the name uncultured Enhydrobacter sp. Its description in RNAcentral is "bacterial SSU rRNA". It matches the Rfam family "Bacterial small subunit ribosomal RNA", at positions 521 to 1009 of the family's 1533-position model. The record is from RNAcentral. Lineage: Bacteria; Pseudomonadati; Pseudomonadota; Alphaproteobacteria; Hyphomicrobiales.
UAAUACAGAAGGUGCGAGCGUUAAUCGGAAUUACUGGCGUAAAGCGAGUGUAGGUGGCUCAUUAAGUCACAUGUGAAAUCCCCGGGCUUAACCUGGGAACUGCAUGUGAUACUGGUGGUGCUAGAAUAUGUGAGAGGGAAGUAGAAUUCCAGGUGUAGCGGUGAAAUGCGUAGAGAUCUGGAGGAAUACCGAUGGCGAAGGCAGCUUCCUGGCAUAAUAUUGACACUGAGAUUCGAAAGCGUGGGUAGCAAACAGGAUUAGAUACCCUGGUAGUCCACGCCGUAAACGAUGUCUACUAGCCGUUGGGGUCCUUGAGACUUUAGUGGCGCAGUUAACGCGAUAAGUAGACCGCCUGGGGAGUACGGCCGCAAGGUUAAAACUCAAAUGAAUUGACGGGGGCCCGCACAAGCGGUGGAGCAUGUGGUUUAAUUCGAUGCAACGCGAAGAACCUUACCUGGUCUUGACAUAGUGAGAAUCCUGCAGAGAUGC